Non-coding RNA from Pelobates cultripes (western spadefoot toad), 276 nucleotides. NCBI's taxonomy places the organism in Eukaryota, Metazoa, Chordata, Amphibia, Anura, Pelobatidae. The record is from the annotation of a GenBank genome assembly.
GUCAGGAACAGUUAGUAAUGAUGUUACCAGUCUUUUGAAAGUCAGAUGGUAAUGUGAACCCUCGGAUCGGCUUAGGAUGGAUGUGGAUUGUGUUAAGCCGAUUCGUCUCCUGAAUGCAACUGCCGGUGAGGACGGCGUGCGUCUGAAUGUGCGUCCCAGCAAGACCUCACUCCGGGGGACGGACAGUGCAGACAAUUUCGGUAGACAUAUUCUCCAAGGGAUCUUUGUGCAAAGUGAUCUUUCUGCUGGUAUAAUCAAUCUGUAUCCUGACUUGUU